This 253-nucleotide ribosomal RNA is filed under the name uncultured bacterium. Its description in RNAcentral is "partial 16S ribosomal RNA". It matches the Rfam family "Bacterial small subunit ribosomal RNA", at positions 524 to 776 of the family's 1533-position model. The record is from RNAcentral.
GACGAACCGUACAAACGUUAUUCGGAAUUACUGGGCUUAAAGGGUGCGUAGGCGGCGCUGAAAGUUGGGUGUGAAAUGCCUCGGCUCAACCGAGGAAUGGCGCCCAAAACUACAGUGCUCGAGGGAGACAGAGGUGAGCGGAACUUAGGGUGGAGCGGUGAAAUGCGUUGAGAUCCUAAGGAACACCGGUGGCGAAAGCGGCUCACUGGGUCUCUUCUGACGCUGAGGCACGAAAGCUAGGGUAGCGAACGGG